Molecule: long non-coding RNA, 214 nt
Filed under: Brachypodium distachyon (stiff brome)
Lineage: Eukaryota; Viridiplantae; Streptophyta; Magnoliopsida; Poales; Poaceae
Description: long non-coding RNA (BDIS_LNC000711)
Source: RNAcentral
CUGCCUGGCUACACUAGUUCGAGAGGUAUGCAUCGGCGGCAUCACCUGAGGGUCGGGCUCCGCCGCUUCACGGGUAGAACUUGCGCAAGUGAUCAAUAUUCCAACUAUUUGGCACCGGCAAGCCGUCUUCGGUUUCCAGCUGGACAGCCCCUGGCUUGGUCACCUGCAGUACCCGGAAGGGGUCCUCCCAUUUCGGAGCCAACUUGUUCCCGGC